RNAcentral lists this transfer RNA (71 nucleotides) under Marmota marmota marmota (Alpine marmot). It matches the Rfam family "tRNA". From Rfam's summary of the family: Transfer RNA (tRNA) molecules are approximately 80 nucleotides in length. Their secondary structure includes four short double-helical elements and three loops (D, anti-codon, and T loops). Further hydrogen bonds mediate the characteristic L-shaped molecular structure. tRNAs have two regions of fundamental functional importance: the anti-codon, which is responsible for specific mRNA codon recognition, and the 3' end, to which the tRNAs corresponding amino acid is attached (by aminoacyl-tRNA synthetases). tRNAs cope with the degeneracy of the genetic code in two manners: having more than one tRNA (with a specific anti-codon) for a particular amino acid; and 'wobble' base-pairing, i.e. permitting non-standard base-pairing at the 3rd anti-codon position. Lineage: Eukaryota; Metazoa; Chordata; Mammalia; Rodentia; Sciuridae. The record is from Rfam by way of RNAcentral. RNAcentral also lists the same sequence under 1 other name.
UGGGGUGUAGCUCAGUGGUGGAGUGCAUGCUUAGCAUGCAUGGGCCCUGGGUUCCAUUCCCAGAACCCAAA